UACAGAGGUAGAGCAACAUGAAAAUAAAAGAGCAUGCUUCUAAUCUUCAAACUUCUUAGUUUAAAAAAAUGGCGAUAACCUUACAACAUUUUCCAGACUCUUGUCCAUACUGAAAAUGGUUCAUGCAUUAAGGAACACCACACAAAGUAUGGAAUCCAAAAAAACUAACAACAAGCGACAGUGACAUGGAUGGCUACCUUAUUGCUUUGGAAGUGGAUGGCAUGAGCCGUCGCUUAGAUGCACGAAACAGUCCCGACCAUGUACAGCUAGCCAAGAAACGUUGGGUCAAAACAAGGAGUUGGUACCUUGAGCAACGACGCCAUCGCGUUGACAUUUGCCCAACCCAACUGCUCAUGGCCAUCCUCGGCCACCACCUAUCCACCUGGACACACUCCUCUAGACCCAGGCGUUCUGAACGGCAUCCUCCCUGCUUCCCCAGCAUGAUGGCCGACUACCGUAACUUCUCUAGAGUGAAUCCUUCCAAAGGCGCUGCCGACAACAUCAUCCCUGUGGUGAUGCGUCUUCCUUCUUGUGCCUUUUGCUCCAUUGACCUCCUUCCUAUGAAAUUUCGGUAACAAGGUACAUUUCAGUAAUCAGUAAAAAAAUGCAGAUUUUAGUACAAGAGAAAUGAGCGUCUUGACAAAGGUUUAGUAGAAAUCAGAUUUCCGUACAACAAGAUAUUUUAGUACCUACUAAAAAGAAUAGUACAAGGGCAAUCAUCCGAACAAUAUCAUCAUAAGUAUGAACUAAACCUUUAGUCGCAGCAGGUACCUACUAAAUAGGAAGUGGAUGAUAUUCAUAUUACCCAUGUCAUCUCAAUAUCAUCAUAUGUUUAUUGUAGAAAAUCAUAAGCAUCAACACCACUACCUGGAAGACAUAUCUCCUAGCUUCUUUAUGAUUCAGAAUUCAACCCCAUGGAAGCUAAUAUGAAUAUCAUCUCAAGGAUCUAGAUAAAAUACCUGGAACAAAACUCAAUGAAGAACCAUAACAUCGAUCGAAACUAAACAUGAAAAUUUUGAACUCGCUGACUUUAUAUCAGUCUAGUAGUAAUAGUAGUACAAUCGCUGGUAGAAAAUGCAAUUCUCAACGUGCAUAUAGAUAUGCUAUUAUCUUGCUGCUAGAAAAUGUAGCGCUCAAGGUACAUAUAGAUAUGCCAUUGUCUUGCUGUGAAAUAGACUGCUUGGUUUGUUAGCUAGAUUAGGAAACCUAAGCUUUCCAACAAUUCCAAUCUGGAAGCACAAUCAGACCUCAUAGCCUUAAAGAUAAAUGAAAAGCAAUCAAACCAUUGGCGAGAACUUCUAAUUACGGCUCCGAGAGAACUCUAAUCCAUUUGUAAUUUGCCUAGAAAUAAAAUCAAUCAAACUGUAAUUUGCCUAGAAACAUGACCUCAAUGGCAUGCAUACCAUCACCUUUCAUAUCUUUUGUGGCAUUAAAUGAUUGUUGCAUUGUCUACGGAUGAGCCAAAAUUGCUAUGCCCCCAGUUCUACAAAUUAGAUGCACAAUAGAUUCCCCAUUCAGCCUAAUACCGCUGCAAAUGAACAAUAGAAAUCCACAUUAGUAAAUACAUCACGUCCCUGGUUAAGUAGUUAAUUUCAAGCCCAAAAAAUUAACACACUCCUGGCCAACAAUGUGCACGGUUAACCAUGAGCUACCGCAUCCUUGCCAAGUGUCCUCGUCCCACUCUUCCACUUGGCGUGAGGCCUCAACGGGACCUGCAUGAUCUAUCCAUCAGCGCAUUGACAGGAUUGUUACCAAAAUUCUUGUUCCUGUGAUCAAGCGGGAGGAGUACCGUGUAAAAUUCUGGCAUCCUGCUGUUGUGACAAGAAUGCAUCCUAUGACAAAAAUGUAUCCGACAUCCUCAAUCUCAAGCUAGAAAAAGACACGAGUCUCUUACUUACUAUGACAAAGUUACCAAUGUUUUUAUCAUUAAUUUAAGACGCAAAGCCUCAGGAUUGACAUGAGUAACAUGAAAGACCUUGGGAAAUAUGAAGAAAUUAGGCACACUUUUUUGUGCAUGAUGUGAAGUAGUAGUAAAAAAUCAAAAUGUCUCAUCUAGUGUUUAGUUCUGCAUACCAAGGUUAUAGUUAUACAAGUACAACGAUUAUUCAGACAAGAUCAGCAAGGAGAUGAGAGGAUGCGCUCGCGGUUGUUCUAAAAAUCGGUAGUUGGAGUCAACUUGCUUAAUUCUAUGUGCAUGCAUAUUCAAAACAACAUGGAGAAUCGUUGUAGGUUGGCUUGGGGGUACCUUUGCAACAUGGAGAAUUAUUGUAGGUUGGCUUGCUGAAUUCUGUGUGCAUGCAUAUUUUGCAGUUGAUUAUGCGGCAUCCUCAUGGUGUAAUCUUCUGCUGAUUCGUUGGGAGUACCAUUGCCACCUGAUCUGUAGAAGAUAAUACUCCACCCAUA
Molecule: long non-coding RNA, 2403 nt
Filed under: Triticum aestivum (bread wheat)
Lineage: Eukaryota; Viridiplantae; Streptophyta; Magnoliopsida; Poales; Poaceae
Description: long non-coding RNA (TAES_LNC016344)
Source: RNAcentral